Molecule: unclassified non-coding RNA, 255 nt
Filed under: Hevea brasiliensis (rubber tree)
Lineage: Eukaryota; Viridiplantae; Streptophyta; Magnoliopsida; Malpighiales; Euphorbiaceae
Source: RNAcentral
AAAGUGUUCGGAUUGGAUGGUUCGACUUUUGCCAGACCUCGCUCGACCGCACGCGAGGAGAGGCUGCGCUUCAUGCUGCGAUCGAACGGGUUAUCGCGGCAUGCAUCCAGAAUCACGAGACGCAGUUUCUUNGGGAUCGAGAAUCCGCACAAUGCGGUCGAGCGACACCGCCUCGUCUUCCACGUCGAUGUCGCGUUCAAGCCGGGCAUCGACAGGGAUCAGAUAGUUGAUGCCAUCAACCUCGAUGCCGUGACC